This is a long non-coding RNA of Prosopis cineraria, 546 nucleotides long. RefSeq lists it as uncharacterized. Lineage: Eukaryota; Viridiplantae; Streptophyta; Magnoliopsida; Fabales; Fabaceae. The record is from RefSeq and is a predicted model, not a curated record. The transcript has 3 exons.
AUCCUAUUUGCUUCAAGGCUCAGGCUCAGGACACCCCUCAACGCUUCCCAUCCUUCUAUCCUCUCUGCUUUUCCUCUGAAUGGUUCCCCAGAAAGGGAAGGAAAGACGACAUUGGAGGGUGCCAAAGGUUAAGUUGUAAUUUGAAACAAUCAUGUGGACUCAAACGGCCUGAGACUGUGGAUAUGCAGAAGACAGCACCCAAGUAUUAGGCGUCACCUGAGAAAGUGGAUUGGAAGGAUGAUUUUUGUUGAAACCUAAACUUAGAAGACGACUCAUCCUUACAGUUUCUGCUUUUUAGUUGACUUCGUGUAACCAGGAUCGAUGCAUAAUUGGAGUCUGCAAUCAUAUGUCGGAGGUGAUCUUGAUCAGUCGACAAAUUAUAAUUAGAAGACGAUGAUUUAAAUGUCACAGAUAGAGAAGGUGCGAGAAGAUAAUUAAAUAAGCAUGAUUUGUAAUGGCGCUGUCUCUUGAUCCAUUAUUCUUUUACAUCCCGGAGAUUAUAUUGACGGCAAGCGAAAAUGCCUUGUUUUGGAUAGGCCACUGAAC